AGAGUUUGAUCCUGGCUCAGAACGAACGCUGGCGGCAGGCUUAACACAUGCAAGUCGAACGCACCUUUCGGGGUGAGUGGCAGACGGGUGAGUAACGCGUGGGAACGUGCCCUUCAGUUCGGGAUAACCCAGGGAAACUUGGGCUAAUACCGGAUACGUGCGAGAGCAGAAAGAUUUAUCGCUGAAGGAUCGGCCCGCGUCUGAUUAGCUAGUUGGUAGGGUAAUGGCCUACCAAGGCGACGAUCAGUAGCUGGUCUGAGAGGAUGAUCAGCCACAUUGGGACUGAGACACGGCCCAAACUCCUACGGGAGGCAGCAGUGGGGAAUAUUGGACAAUGGGCGCAAGCCUGAUCCAGCCAUGCCGCGUGAGUGAUGAAGGCCUUAGGGUUGUAAAGCUCUUUCGUCCGGGACGAUAAUGACGGUACCGGAAGAAGAAGCCCCGGCUAACUUCGUGCCAGCAGCCGCGGUAAUACGAAGGGGGCUAGCGUUGUUCGGAAUCACUGGGCGUAAAGGGCGCGUAGGCGGCUUUGUAAGUCGGGGGUGAAAGCCUGUGGCUCAACCACAGAAUUGCCUUCGAUACUGCAUGGCUUGAGACCGGAAGAGGUAAGUGGAACUGCGAGUGUAGAGGUGAAAUUCGUAGAUAUUCGCAAGAACACCAGUGGCGAAGGCGGCUUACUGGUCCGGUUCUGACGCUGAGGCGCGAAAGCGUAGGGAGCAAACAGGAUUAGAUACCCUAGUAGUCC
Molecule: ribosomal RNA, 742 nt
Filed under: uncultured bacterium
Lineage: Bacteria
Description: bacterial SSU rRNA
Rfam family: Bacterial small subunit ribosomal RNA
Source: RNAcentral